RNAcentral lists this ribosomal RNA (253 nucleotides) under uncultured bacterium. RNAcentral's name for it is "partial 16S ribosomal RNA". It matches the Rfam family "Bacterial small subunit ribosomal RNA", at positions 524 to 776 of the family's 1533-position model. The record is from RNAcentral.
UACAGAGACUGCAAGCGUUAUUCGGAUUCGCUGGGCGUAAAGGGUGCGCAGGCGGCCGUGUGUGUAAGGUGUGAAAUCCCGGGGCUCAACCCCGGAACUGCGCCUUAAACUACAUGGCUAGAGUACUGGAGAGGGUAACGGAAUUCACGGUGUAGCAGUGAAAUGCGUAGAUAUCGUGAGGAACACCAGAGGCGAAGGCGGUUACCUGGACAGAUACUGACGCUCAGGCACGAAGGCAUGGGGAGCAAAAGGG